Molecule: ribosomal RNA, 437 nt
Rfam family: Bacterial small subunit ribosomal RNA
ACGGAAGGCAGCAGUGGGGAAUAUUGGGCAAUGGGCGAAAGCCUGACCCAGCAACGCCGCGUGAAGGAAGAAGGUCUUCGGAUUGUAAACUUCUUUUAUGAGGGACGAAGGACGUGACGGUACCUCAUGAAUAAGCCACGGCUAACUACGUGCCAGCAGCCGCGGUAAUACGUAGGUGGCAAGCGUCAUCCGGAUUUACUGGGUGUAAAGGGCGCGUAGGCGGGAAGGCAAGUCAGAUGUGAAAUCCAUGGGCUCAACCCAUGAACUGCAUUUGAAACUGUCAAACUAGAGUGCAGGAGAGGUAAGUGGAAUUCCUAGUGUAGCGGUGAAAUGCGUAGAUAUUAGGAGGAACACCAGUGGCGAAGGCGGCUUACUGGACUGUAACUGACGUUGAGGCUCGAAAGCGUGGGGAGCAAACAGGAUUAGAUACCCUGGUA